This is a long non-coding RNA of Aedes albopictus (Asian tiger mosquito), 3092 nucleotides long. RefSeq lists it as uncharacterized. Lineage: Eukaryota; Metazoa; Arthropoda; Insecta; Diptera; Culicidae. The transcript has 5 exons. The record is from RefSeq and is a predicted model, not a curated record.
CGACGACGUCGCACUUUUUACGUAUGCGAGGAGGAAUCACCAUCAUCGUCGUCGUCGUCGUCGUCGGUCUACUGUGUGAGUGUUGGUGCGCGGCUCAAAACACACGCGUUCGAACGGUCGUUCACCCCGGGUCCCAUAUUAUAUCGUACAGUCAUUUCUCUCAUCAUAGUUGAUCAAACGGUCGCAACUUUUUCAUAGUCUCUAAUGUUUAUCGCCUGGUUUUCGCCGGAAAAGUCGGUUCCCGCAAGUUCUCUCCUGGACUCGGACUGUGGAUAGUUUUUAGUAGGAUCUUUGGGUCUACUAGGCUUGCCUUUUAGUGUGCUGCUCUCUUAUCGUCGUCGUAGUUGUCGUCAUCGUCCUUCUGAGCAGCAGCAGCAGCAGUAGUCGUCGGAGUGGAGUGUCGUUGGCUGGCAAGAUUCGAAGCAGCAGCAGUGCGGUGACCCCUUCGAAUGGCAGAAUUCCAUCCGAUUCCGUGAACAGUAGAGUGGCCCAAGGUUAUUUGGGGGAAAAAAGUGGUAAGUCAGGAAUUUCAAGUCUUGCAGCAGUUUCGGGGAGUAAACUCGGCUAGUAAUUAUCCCUGGCAGGUUAAUUUUACUACGAGGAUAUAUUGCGCAUACAAUCGGAAUUAAAAAUGUAAGAAAAGAAAAUCAUCCAAUAUGAGAAAUAAAUGUGUCUGUUCUAUACUCUUGUCUAAAGUUGGUGUUAGAUUAUAGGAACAUUGUCCUAAUGCCUGAUUUGUGAACGACCAAGAGGCAUGUAAGACAAUUUCCACAAUAAACUCUUGUAACCAAGAUAAAUAAUAAUUAUCUUCGGAUUUAUUUCCGGUUUUUACUAGUUGCUUUCAUACCUGGAUGACGAUUUUCAUUUUAAAAUAAAAAUAAAUAUACGCCGAUUACAGCGUUACUUACUUUUAAUUAGAAAAUCAUAAAUUUUUAUUAAAGAUUUUAUCCUUUUUUUAAUUGUUCUCGCUAUAACUCAUAGUGAUCCCAAGAAAUUAAAAAAAAAAAUAGGGAACAUUACUGGGUAUGUCUGCUCUUCGAAACUGCUGCAUGGUCUAAAAUUUCUGAAUUUCAUGCAUUUUGGGCCAAUCUAGUGAACAGUGCCGAGACUGCGUUGGAAGAAAGGAAAAUUUCCUGAAAAAGUGAUAAGCUCCUGGUGACGAUCCUGAAUUUUAACGUGUUUUGUGUAUUUUAAAGUGUCUCAAUCCAGUGUGUAAUACGAAUCCCCCGAACCACAGUUUCAUAAAUCCGUGUAAUCUUGAAUUCGUGAGGGAGCGCGAGGAGAGGGGUCAGUAUCAAUUGAAAGUGAAUUUAUACGCCCGAGUACAGCAGAGACAAGGCGUUGCUGGUGCUGGUGCUGCUGUAACCAUGAUAAGAAUUUGGAGUGAAGGCACCCCUCCUUGGGGUGGUGCAACCACCGAGGGGGUGAACAAGUGAUGAGGGAGCACGCACAAUGCGAAAGGAAAAGAAGACUGGUGCUUCCGAAUGAAGAUUUUUGUUUUCAAUGACGUUGAGAGCAUGUGAAUGAAAAUGCAAAAAAAAACAACCUAAUCAUAGAAAGUGAAGAAGUCGAAAAAGCAAUAUACUACGCGUAGUGAAUAUUUCUCAAAAUAAAAAGUGAAUAAGGAUUGAAGAAAAUUUUAAACUGAAUAACGGUUGUAGAUUGGAUUAAUCUUGAGAAGAAAGAAAAGUAAAUUAAAAAGGACUGUAUCGUUGUGCACUCAGAAGAAAAAAAUCGAAGAAUAGUGCGUGCCAUUUUUGUUCUGCCAGAAGCCAGAAAAACCUCCUCGAUUGCAGUUGUGAAUGAGAAGACGUUUGGUGCCCGAUAGCCGGAAUACUUAGGGACAUACAUAAUCGGAUUACCGCUGGAGCUAUUUUGAUGGUCAAGGAACCGCAAACUACAAAGUGACAACCGGUGGGAAGUUACGUGAAGAGAGAAAAAAUUGUGAACGGAAGUUAGUGCGAAAAAAAAACGAAGAGAGAGUAGAACAGGAAGUUGUUGGAAAGUGAACGGGAACGGAACGGGAAUAGAAAACCAGUGCUUUGAAAAAAGUUUAUGAAGAUUGAGGGAAAAAAGAUACCAAGAGAAAAAAUAAAGUGCAAAGUGCAGACACCUCCAAUUGUGCGUGUGAGACUUCCUAGCAUGGCAGACGACAAUGGCCGACUUUAUUGAAUUAAGGUACCCACCACAUACUCGAGUAUGACAAUUCCUAGUGCUUCCAGUCGACGACGACGGUACUCCAGCGGCGGUUUAAAGAGACAGCCAGACAAAAUGCUGCCGAAUUUCUUGAUAAGGUACAUCUGAAUUUCUCUAUAAUAUGUAAAUAGUAAGUAUUUUACAAUGUAUUAUUGUUAGUUGAAUCUCCGUGUCCCAAAAACAAACUUUCACAAAACUUUAGUGACCGAAAAAAAUAAUAGAGAAAAAAGAACAUGAACUCUUCGUCGUCACCGCCUCGCAUACCUUAAGCUGUCGACGCUUGUCGGUGCAUGUGUCAAGUGCCUCACAAAUUUGCAAGAAAUCCUUGAAAUAAACUUCGUCUCACACGCUAUGCCCUUUCUUCCUACUUCGGUUCCAUCUCCCCCCAACCACCCCAAAUGAAACAUCUUUCACCUACCUACCGACGACGACGACCGAGUCGACCGGCUUCAAUAAAUUUCCAUCCGCUCCGCCCCGCAUUGUUGAGCCUACGCCGUUUACUGCACAAAGUAGGUAUGAUGAUGCAGCAAGCACUAUCCAAAGCAGCAUUACAACCAAUCCGACGCAACAACACAUCAACAGCACACCAGAACUACAACCAGUCGAAAACGCCUCCCAGGCACGCAAAAGCCCGUGGCACGCAAAAGUGGAACAAUGAACUUCCAUAACCCUGUAAAGGCAGGCAGGUAGAGUGGUAGAGCUAGCCUAGCUCUAGGUAGGUAGGUAUGCGCUUAACAAGAGAGCCAACUUCAGCAACUAUUUUGCACGCAGUCUCGACACAAUCAUCGUCUUCAUCGUAGCCGUCGUCGCAUCAGCUCUAGUAGUUCCAUAACCAGACAAGACAACAACGCAUCAUCGGUCGAUCGGUGAUGGUACCUACACUUAGUAGAAAUAGU